RNAcentral lists this long non-coding RNA (325 nucleotides) under Carica papaya (papaya). Its description in RNAcentral is "long non-coding RNA (CPAP_LNC001604)". The record is from RNAcentral. Lineage: Eukaryota; Viridiplantae; Streptophyta; Magnoliopsida; Brassicales; Caricaceae.
UGUACUUCAAUAAUCAGACAACAAUUCUCCUCUUUUACCAGCCUACUAGUAUCCAUGGAGAUCCAUAGGGGGGUCCCCGCUACAUGUGAACCAUUAACAUUAAUAACCUGAUUCCAGGACCGUCCCCAUACCCCGUCCGGUAUGGGCGCCAAAACCAUAAACCUCAGUACCCCGUCCGGUAUGAGCGCCAAAACACAUAAAGUUCCAUACCCCGUCCGAUAUGAGAGACCACGUUCCUGGUAGGGUUCCCUACGGACCCGGUCCGUCCACCAUCUCCCAGGAUAUCUAGUCAGGCUGUCCACAUUAUCCAUUUAUCAAUUCACAU